AACUUUUAGCAAUGGAUCACUUGGCUCUCGCAUCGAUGAAGAACGCAGCGAAAUGCGAUAAGUAAUGUGAAUUGCAGAAUUCGGUGAAUCAUCGAAUCAUUGAACGCAUCUUGCGCUCCUUGGUAUUCCGAGGAGCAUGCCUGUUUGAGUGUCAUUUGACUUCUCUCAACCACAUCGUCUUUGUCAAUGUGGCUUGGAUGUGGGGGAAUUUCUUUGCGGGCUUUUUUAAUUUAAUAAGAAGCCAGCUCCCCUGAAAUGCAUUAGUGGUGUCUGAGCUGCUAUUGGUGUGAUAAUUUAUCUAUGCCUUUGGUAAUGCUGGUCAGUGCUGCUUAUAACAAGACAAAAUUCAUUUGACAAAUUUGACCUCAAAUCAGGUAGGACUACCCGCUGAACUUAAGCAUAUCAAUAAGCGGAGGCU
This 418-nucleotide unclassified non-coding RNA is filed under the name uncultured Inocybe. Its description in RNAcentral is "sequence contains ITS2". The stretch from base 1 to 154 matches the Rfam family "5.8S ribosomal RNA". The record is from RNAcentral. Lineage: Eukaryota; Fungi; Basidiomycota; Agaricomycetes; Agaricales; Cortinariaceae.